GUGAGGAAUAUUGGUCAAUGGGCGCAAGCCUGAACCAGCCAUGCCGCGUGCAGGAAGACGGUCCUAUGGAUUGUAAACUGCUUUUAUUUGGGAAUAAACUCCGGUACGUGUACCGGCCUGAAGGUACCAAAUGAAUAAGCACCGGCUAACUCCGUGCCAGCAGCCGCGGUAAUACGGAGGGUGCAAGCGUUAUCCGGAAUCAUUGGGUUUAAAGGGUCCGCAGGCGGUCUUAUAAGUCAGUGGUGAAAGCCUACAGCUCAACUGUAGAACUGCCAGAGAUACUGUAGGACUUGAAUUCGAUCGAAGUGGGCGGAAUGAGACAUGUAGCGGUGAAAUGCUUAGAUAUGUCACAGAACACCGAUAGCGAAGGCAGCUCACUAGGUCUGGAUUGACGCUCAGGGACGAAAGCGUGGGGAGCAAACAGGAUUGGAAACCCGAGUAGUCC
This 445-nucleotide ribosomal RNA is filed under the name uncultured bacterium. RNAcentral's name for it is "partial 16S ribosomal RNA". It matches the Rfam family "Bacterial small subunit ribosomal RNA", at positions 354 to 796 of the family's 1533-position model. The record is from RNAcentral.